CUUGCAACUCCCUAACUGACUAAUCUAUCUGACUUCAUUUGAAUACUAAAUCUCCCAGUGAAUUGUGAGGACAUGAAGGAUGUAACUGCAUGUGAUGUUUAUAUUCAGAGACAGCUAAUAGGGGAACAGGGACUCCCUUGAGAAAAGUCCCUACAGAUGGAGGAGGGAGCAGGAGACCUCCACAGCGCUGCUGGAUCCCAGCAAGUGGAGGAUGUUGCAAUCAAAAGAAGCAGAAAAAUAAAUAAGGAACAAGGACCAGGCAAUUCGACCAGGAAGGCCAAAGGCAACGAGAGGAGGAGAAAGAAAAAUCAGAAAAGAGCAGAAAGAAAGAGCGUCUCAAGCGUAAAGUCAGAUGCAGAUGUUGAAAAUAAAGACACAGAAAAAGGUGGGAGUGAAGUCAUGGAGACCACAAGCAGCCAAACUGAGAGUGUGCCAGUAGAAGCACAACAUGAGGAUCCCCAAGCAGAAGACGACGUGCAAACUGUGGACGAACAACGCCACGAACCUGCUAAGAUGGUGCAAGCUCACACUCAAACGAGGAAACAUAAAGGCACAAACAAAUUUACACAAACUCCAGUUGUUUUUCAGAGCAACCAGGAAACGCAGACAGACUUCUCUGGUUCAAAAAAAGAAGACACAAAUGAUGAAAAGACUCAAUCUGAGACAAAGAACGCUGCUGAGGCGCAGCUAAAACAAGACGAAUGCCCCGACAAUGAGAGGGCGUCUUCAGAGUCUGCCAAGAAGCAAAACCCUGAGAAAGAGUCAAAGUCUAAAGAGGAGAACCCCUCGGCAGGAGCCUCAGGUGAUCCUGCAGGUGCCAAAACAAAGUCUUACGCCAAAGUUGUGUCUGGAGAGGGCGGGAGUCAGAAGCAGUCCGACGUGGAAGCUUCCAAAGCAGCAGAUAAAAACACAAAAACAGCCCAAAGCACGCGGUGAGACACGGUGAUAAUCACAGCCACAUCACAUACUGUGUUUGAAGCUGUGAUGUAAACGUGUGUUCUUCCCUCUCCACAGUGAUCGAAGCCCAGUGAGAUAUCCACCUGCUGCCCCCGUGUUCACCGUUCACAUCUAUGCUGUGCUGGACAAAAAGUUUAAAUUCAACCAAGAAUGUGACACACUUCUGCUUUGUUACGACGGAGGGCAAUUCACCCUUUAAGAUGACGCAUUUUGUGUGAGUAUUGAUUUGAUGAGCUGUAAUACAUAGAAUGUCUGCAACACAGAUCCGAAGUU
Cottoperca gobio is the source of this 1230-nucleotide long non-coding RNA. The record is from Ensembl. NCBI's taxonomy places the organism in Eukaryota, Metazoa, Chordata, Actinopteri, Perciformes, Bovichtidae.